UACAGAGGAGCCAAGCGUUGUCCGGAUUGACUGGGCGUAAAGCGCACGCAGGCGGACGCGCGCGUGGGGUGUGAAAUCUGGCCGCUUAACGGCCAGGCGCCAUCCCAUACGGCGCAUCUGGAGUGAUGCAGAGGUCGAUGGAAUUGCCGGUGUAGUGGUGAAAUGCGUAGAGAUCGGCAGGAACACCCAGGGGGAAACCAGUCGACUGGGCAUCUACUGACGCUGAGGUGCGAGAGCGUGGGGAGCGAACCGG
This 253-nucleotide ribosomal RNA is filed under the name uncultured bacterium. RNAcentral describes it as "partial 16S ribosomal RNA". It matches the Rfam family "Bacterial small subunit ribosomal RNA", at positions 524 to 776 of the family's 1533-position model. The record is from RNAcentral.